RNAcentral lists this ribosomal RNA (251 nucleotides) under uncultured Eubacteriales bacterium. Its description in RNAcentral is "uncultured Clostridiales bacterium partial 16S ribosomal RNA". It matches the Rfam family "Bacterial small subunit ribosomal RNA", at positions 83 to 334 of the family's 1533-position model. The record is from RNAcentral. Lineage: Bacteria; Bacillati; Bacillota; Clostridia; Eubacteriales.
AAAAGUGGAUUAGCGGCGGACGGGUGAGUAACACGUGAGUAACCUGCCUUAGACAUUGGGAUAGCCUCGGGAAACCGGGAUUAAUACCAAAUAAAAUCAUAAUGACACAUGUCAUAACGAUCAAAACUCCGGUGGUCUAAGAUGGACUCGCGUCCCAUUAGCUAGUUGGUAGAGUAAAAGCCUACCAAGGCGACGAUGGGUAGCCGGCCUGAGAGGGUGAACGGCCACAUUGGAACUGAGAAACGGUCCAA